This 193-nucleotide ribosomal RNA is filed under the name Klebsiella aerogenes. RNAcentral describes it as "partial 16S ribosomal RNA". It matches the Rfam family "Bacterial small subunit ribosomal RNA", at positions 1 to 185 of the family's 1533-position model. The record is from RNAcentral. Lineage: Bacteria; Pseudomonadati; Pseudomonadota; Gammaproteobacteria; Enterobacterales; Enterobacteriaceae.
UUAAAUUGAAGAGUUUGAUCAUGGCUCAGAUUGAACGCUGGCGGCAGGCCUAACACAUGCAAGUCGAACGGUAACAGGAAGCAGCUUGCUGCUUCGCUGACGAGUGGCGGACGGGUGAGUAAUGUCUGGGGAUCUGCCUGAUGGAGGGGGAUAACUACUGGAAACGGUAGCUAAUACCGCAUAACGUCGCAAG